AAACUUUCAACAAUGGAUCUCUUGGUUCUCGCAUCGAUGAAGAACGCAGCGAAAUGCGAUACGUAAUGUGAAUUGCAGAAUUCCGUGAAUCAUCGAAU
RNAcentral lists this ribosomal RNA (98 nucleotides) under Nakaseomyces nivariensis. RNAcentral describes it as "[Candida] nivariensis 5.8S ribosomal RNA". It matches the Rfam family "5.8S ribosomal RNA", at positions 1 to 97 of the family's 154-position model. From Rfam's summary of the family: 5.8S ribosomal RNA (5.8S rRNA) is a component of the large subunit of the eukaryotic ribosome. It is transcribed by RNA polymerase I as part of the 45S precursor that also contains 18S and 28S rRNA. Functionally, it is thought that 5.8S rRNA may be involved in ribosome translocation. Lineage: Eukaryota; Fungi; Ascomycota; Saccharomycetes; Saccharomycetales; Saccharomycetaceae. The record is from RNAcentral.